AUUGAACGCUGGCGGCAGGCCUAACACAUGCAAGUCGAGCGGAUGAAGGGAGCUUUCUCCUGGAUUCAGCGGCGGACGGGUGAGUAAUGCCUAGGAAUCUGCCUGGUAGUUGGGGAUAACGUCCGUAAACGGGCGCUAAUACCGCAUACGUCCUGAGGGAGAAAGUGGGGGAUCUUCGGACCUCACGCUAUCUGAUGAGCCUAGGUCGGAUUAGCUAGUUGGUUGGGUAAAGGCCUACCAAGGCGACGAUCCGUAACUGGUCUGAGAGGAUGAUCAGUCACACUGGAACUGAGACACGGUCCAGACUCCUACGGGAGGCAGCAGUGGGGAAUAUUGGACAAUGGGCGAAAGCCUGAUCCAGCCAUGCCGCGUGUGUGAAGAAGGUCUUCGGAUUGUAAAGCACUUUAAGUAGGGAGGAAGGGCAGUAAGUUAAUACCUUGCUGUUUUGACGUUACCAAAAGAAUAAGCACCGGCUAACUUCGUG
This 484-nucleotide ribosomal RNA is filed under the name uncultured bacterium. Its description in RNAcentral is "partial 16S ribosomal RNA". It matches the Rfam family "Bacterial small subunit ribosomal RNA", at positions 30 to 507 of the family's 1533-position model. The record is from RNAcentral.